Gossypium raimondii (Peruvian cotton) is the source of this 106-nucleotide non-coding RNA. The record is from Rfam. NCBI's taxonomy places the organism in Eukaryota, Viridiplantae, Streptophyta, Magnoliopsida, Malvales, Malvaceae.
AAUUUAUGGUAUGGACAUUUUCUUAACAUCGUCUUGAAACGUUCCUACACCUCGUACAAGGACUCACCUUCUUAUUGUUUGAGAUUAGUGAUUUCUCUCUUGACCU